RNAcentral lists this long non-coding RNA (261 nucleotides) under Elaeis guineensis (African oil palm). RNAcentral's name for it is "long non-coding RNA (EGUI_LNC002574)". Lineage: Eukaryota; Viridiplantae; Streptophyta; Magnoliopsida; Arecales; Arecaceae. The record is from RNAcentral.
UGGAUUUUUUAUCUUUUCUAUCAUGGGACUCACCAUCUUUUUUGCUGUAGGAGGGUCUAUUUUUACUUCUCUCCCUUUGCUCUGUAAUCAAUGCCUCAGAACCUGUAUCUGUCAAACCUUGGUUCUUUCGUCUGUUUGCUUCAUUCAAUAUAUUAUCCUUCACCAUAGUCAGGAUAAGUUUGUCACUAGCAGUGGAAUUACUCAGCAUCACCAUUAAUGUCUUCUAAUUGUCUGGUAAGGAACUCAGCAAGAUCAAUACCC